RNAcentral lists this microRNA precursor (84 nucleotides) under Bombyx mori (domestic silkworm). RNAcentral's name for it is "mir-2807 microRNA precursor family". It matches the Rfam family "mir-2807 microRNA precursor family". Lineage: Eukaryota; Metazoa; Arthropoda; Insecta; Lepidoptera; Bombycidae. The record is from Rfam by way of RNAcentral.
UUAACUCAACUACGUAUGCAGUUGAAACAGCGCCCCUAGCGGCAAACGUAGGCAAACGUUCCAACUCCAUACAAAAUUGAGUUA